RNAcentral lists this ribosomal RNA (396 nucleotides) under Triticum aestivum (bread wheat). Its description in RNAcentral is "partial small subunit ribosomal RNA". Lineage: Eukaryota; Viridiplantae; Streptophyta; Magnoliopsida; Poales; Poaceae. The record is from RNAcentral.
AUGAUUGACACAAAUUGCCCAAUUAUGAGCUGGAACACACGAGGGCUCAACUCGUCGGCCCGGCGAGCAGUAGUGAACGAGACGGCAGAGGCACACAAGCUCGCUCUUCUCUGUCUCCAAGAGACAAAGAUCGACAAUUGGAGCAGAUCACUAGUUAGGGAGGUGGGUAGAGCCAGACUAGCAGACUGCGUCGUCCUCCCGGCCACGUGCACUAGGGGAGGCGUGGCGAUCUUCUGGGACAGGAGCCGCAUAGAGGUGCAAUCCCACGCCAUUGGCCGUUUCUCCAUCACAGCCAAGAUCACUCUCGCAUCAACAACAACAUCAUUCUGGAUGACGAUGGUGUACGAGCCAGUCAACGAUGGGAGGAAAGAUGAGUUCCUGACCGAGCUAGCAUGA